GAUGAAGAACGUAGCAAAAUGCGAUAAGUAAUGUGAAUUGCAGAAUUCAGUGAAUCAUCGAAUCUUUGAACGCACAUUGCGCCCGCCAGUAUUCUGGCGGGCAUGCCUGUUCGAGCGUCAUUUCAACCCUCAAGCACAGCUUGGUGUUGGGACUCGCGUUAAUUCGCGUUCCUCAAAUUGAUUGGCGGUCACGUCGAGCUUCCAUAGCGUAGUAGUAAAACCCUCGUUACUGGUAAUCGUCGCGGCCACGCCGUUAAACCCCAACUUCUGAAUGUUGACCUCGGAUCAGGUAGGAAUACCCGCUGAAUUUAAGCAUAUCAAUAAGCGGAGGA
Molecule: unclassified non-coding RNA, 332 nt
Filed under: soil metagenome
Description: partial contains 5.8S ribosomal RNA, internal transcribed spacer 2, and large subunit ribosomal RNA
Rfam family: 5.8S ribosomal RNA (bases 1-120)
Source: RNAcentral